Molecule: transfer RNA, 67 nt
Filed under: Isocapnia anguis
Lineage: Eukaryota; Metazoa; Arthropoda; Insecta; Plecoptera; Capniidae
Description: tRNA-Gly
Source: RNAcentral
AUUUAUCUAGUAUACAUGUAUAGUUGACUUCCAAUCAAAAGGGCUGAAUAAAAAUUCAGGAUAAAUA